This 432-nucleotide ribosomal RNA is filed under the name uncultured bacterium. RNAcentral's name for it is "partial 16S ribosomal RNA". It matches the Rfam family "Bacterial small subunit ribosomal RNA", at positions 29 to 506 of the family's 1533-position model. The record is from RNAcentral.
AACGAACGCUGGCGGCAUGCCUAACACAUGCAAGUCGAACGAGACCUUCGGGUCUAGUGGCGCACGGGUGCGUAACGCGUGGGAACCUGCCCUUAGGUUCGGAAUAACUCCCCGAAAGGGGUGCUAAUACCGGAUAAUGUCUUCGGACCAAAGAUUUAUCGCCUUUGGAUGGGCCCGCGUUGGAUUAGCUAGUUGGUAAGGUAAAAGCCUACCAAGGCGACGAUCCAUAGCUGGUCUGAGAGGAUGAUCAGCCACACUGGGACUGGGACACGGCCCAGACUCCUACGGGAGGCAGCAGUGGGGAAUAUUGGACAAUGGGCGAAAGCCUGAUCCAGCAAUGCCGCGUGAGUGAUGAAGGCCUUAGGGUUGUAAAGCUCUUUUACCCGGGAUGAUAAUGACAGUACCGGGAGAAUAAGCUCCGGCUAACUCCGU